Molecule: ribosomal RNA, 795 nt
Filed under: uncultured bacterium
Lineage: Bacteria
Description: bacterial SSU rRNA
Rfam family: Bacterial small subunit ribosomal RNA
Source: RNAcentral
GAGGAAUACCAAUGGGAAGCAGCCCCCUGGACUAUACUGAGGUCAUGCACGAAAGCGUGGGGAGCAACAGAUUAGAUACCCUGGUAGUNCACGCCCUAAACAAGUAUANUAGUUGUUGGGAGAGUAAAAUCUCUUAGUAACGCAGCUAACGCGUGAAGUAGACCGCCUGGGGAGUACGGUCGCAAGAUUAAAACUCAAAGGAAUUGACGGGGGCCCGCACAAGCGGUGGAUUAUGUGGAUUAAUUCGAUGCAACGCGAAAAACCUUACCUGGCCUUGACAUGUACCGAAUUUAGCAGAGAUGCUUUAGUGCUCGAAAGAGAACGGUAACACAGGUGCUGCAUGGCUGUAGUCAGCUCGUGUCGUGAGAUGUUGGGUUAAGUCCCGCAACGAGCGCAACCCUUGCCAUUAAUUGCCAUCAUUUAGUUGGGCACUUUAAUGGGACUGCCGGUGACAAACCGGAGGAAGGUGGGGAUGACGUCAAGUCCUCAUGGCCCUUAUGGCCAGGGCUUCACACGUAAUACAAUGGUCGGUACAGAGGGUUGCCAACCCGCGAGGGGGAGCCAAUCCCAGAAAGCCGAUCGUAGUCCGGAUUGUAGUCUGCAACUCGACUGCAUGAAGUCGGAAUCGCUAGUAAUCGCGGAUCAGCAUGUCGCGGUGAAUACGUUCCCGGGCCUUGUACACACCGCCCGUCACACCAUGGGAGUGGGUUUCACCAGAAGUAGUUAGUCUAACCGCAAGGGGGACGAUUACCACGGUGGGAUUCAUGACUGGGGUGAAGUCGUAACAAGGUAACC